UGGCGGACGGGUGAGUAACGCGUGGGUAACCUGCCUCAUACAGGGGGGUAACAGUUAGAAAUGACUGCUAAUACCGCAUAAGACCACAGCACCGCAUGGUGCAGGGGUAAAAACUCCGGUGGUAUGAGAUGGACCCGCGUCUGAUUAGGUAGUUGGUGGGGUAACGGCCUACCAAGCCGACGAUCAGUAGCCGACCUGAGAGGGUGACCGGCCACAUUGGGACUGAGACACGGCCCAA
This 238-nucleotide ribosomal RNA is filed under the name uncultured bacterium. RNAcentral describes it as "partial 16S ribosomal RNA". It matches the Rfam family "Bacterial small subunit ribosomal RNA", at positions 96 to 334 of the family's 1533-position model. The record is from RNAcentral.